AGUAGGAUAGCUGGAUCAAAUGGUUGAUCUAGUUUUUUGAAGAAUCUCUGUACUACUUUCCAGAGUGUUUGCACCAAUUUGCAGUCUCACCAGCAAU
Molecule: microRNA precursor, 97 nt
Filed under: Marmota monax (woodchuck)
Lineage: Eukaryota; Metazoa; Chordata; Mammalia; Rodentia; Sciuridae
Source: RNAcentral